AACUUGUAGCCCGCCGGCAGGAGCGAGCCGUUCGCCUCCAGGCUCCGCACCGCGUACUCGAUGGCCGGCCUGACCCGCGCCAGCGAGAACAGCGGUAGAGAACCCGAGGCGCACCAAGGUGGCGGAAAGGAGCGAGCGAGGGCGCACUGAGGAAAAGUUUCGAGGGCUCCGCUCGGAAGGGGCGCCGUCUGCUCCCUCUCGCCUCUGGAUUCUAGUCAGAAAUAGAGGGUGAAUUUGCUUCGCGCUUUUGGGAAGGGACGGUCUGCCGCCCCGCUACAACUUUCCCGCGCCCCGUCCUCCAUGUAACCGUAAGAAUAAGAGAGCCAACUGAGGCGCCAGCAUCCUCAUCAUCGCCCACUACUACUUUUUCUUCCUCCUCCUCCUCCCCUCCGCCCGCCUCCCCAAUCUCUCUGCCUCCCGAGUGAGCUGGGUCGACGGCCGUCCUUGCCGCUCCCGGCCUCAUAGCCUCUGUUUAAAUACUGCGGCUGCAGCCCCGCGCGCCCGGUCGCCAGACACGCGGCGCGGCGAGGCCGGGUUUGCGCUUCGGGGGGGUGAGGGCGGGCUAGGGAGGAGCCAUUGCCAAACGUCCCCUUGGCUUGGCUGGCCACGCCCACCUCUCUCUCUCUCUCUCUUCCUUGGCUCCUCCCCGCCCCGCGUUCACACGCUGCCUCUUCGCCCUCGGGUUUCUCCGCCGCUUUUGUUCUGGGAGGCUGAAGCGGAGGCGGAGAAGGGGAGACGAGGAAUCUAGACGCCGACCACCGAGGGCCAGGAAUCGUGCGCCCCUGCUUGGGGGAUGGUGGCGCCCUUCAUCCUCCCUUGGGAUGGGGUAGUCCAAAUCCAGGCUGCGAUCCUGCUUGAGCAGGGGGGCUGGACUAGAAGACCUCCGAGCAUCAUGCCUGGGAAACAUCAUGCCUUGAGCCCAACGUGGAGUUGGAUCCCUGCAGAGAUGAGGAAUCUCUUCUUCGCAGAGAAUCUGCUUUGCAUCCUGGAGAAUCAAAGCUCUCUGAGUGGAUUAAAG
Thamnophis elegans (Western terrestrial garter snake) is the source of this 1018-nucleotide long non-coding RNA. RefSeq lists it as uncharacterized. The transcript is spliced from 3 exons. The record is from RefSeq and is a predicted model, not a curated record. Lineage: Eukaryota; Metazoa; Chordata; Lepidosauria; Squamata; Natricidae.